GACAACGUGGCCGAGCGGUUAAGGCGAUUGACUAGAAAUCAAUUGGGAUUUUCCCGCGUAGGUUCAAAUCCUGCCGUUGUCG
RNAcentral lists this transfer RNA (82 nucleotides) under Uromyces viciae-fabae. RNAcentral describes it as "tRNA-Ser (AGA) (tRNA-Ser-AGA-2-1)". It matches the Rfam family "tRNA". From Rfam's summary of the family: Transfer RNA (tRNA) molecules are approximately 80 nucleotides in length. Their secondary structure includes four short double-helical elements and three loops (D, anti-codon, and T loops). Lineage: Eukaryota; Fungi; Basidiomycota; Pucciniomycetes; Pucciniales; Pucciniaceae. The record is from RNAcentral. RNAcentral also lists the same sequence under 3 other names.